UCCAUCUGUAAAAUGGGGACGAGAAAGGGAGAAUGCAGUGCUGACUGCAUCAGCUGUAGCUGGCCUGGUGCUAGCAGCUUGGCCAUGGUACCCCCACCCAGAGCGACUUCACUGGACAGCUGUAUAUGGGAAGACUUCACGCUGACUGUGAUGAAACAAGACAGAAAUAAGAGCAUUCUGUGAUCACGUCUGAGUGCGAAGCCAGCUGCUGUAUCAUGAAUCAGUCCUGUGGAGAGGUCCAGGUCGCGAGGGCUCAAAGCCCACCAACUGUCACAUAAAGGUGCCUGGAAGAAGAGCCCCCAGUUGAACCUUCAAAUGGGACCAUGGAGUCUGACAGCUUAACUGCAGUUUCAUGAGAGAUCUUGAGCCAGAGGCAUCCAGAAAAGUUAAACCCAGAAUCCUGAUCCACAAAACCUGGUGGCCUUUGCUGAGCUGGUACCUUGGACUGGGGGUAGUGGCCAUGAGCCUGCAGAGAAGAGGAUGGAAUCAAGAGCUCUCAUGGCGCUGGAUCCAACAGGACUUGAUAGAUUGCAGGUGAGGUCACGUAGGAAGGGAGCACUCAAGGAUGACUCCAUGGUUUUGGACAUGAACAGCAGGACAGAGGCAGAGGCCUUUUACUGAAAGAUGGAAGAUGGCGGAGGGGCAUGAGUUGGAAAAAUCUAGAGCUCCGUUGGAGACAGAAUCAGUUCAAGAUGCCCAUUGGUGGGCCAAGCCAUCCGUCUUCCGCUACACUGUGCUGUGUCCCCAGUGUUGAGCCCAGUGCUUGGCGUGGAUCGGGCUCUCAGAAAGCAUUUGUUGAAUGAGAGAACUGAAAUGAUACGCUUAAAAGCUACAGAUGACUAAUGGCUUCUAGAACAACAGAUGAUCCAAAGUCCGUAGUGAUAGCUAAUUAAACCACUCCAAUCCGAUGUCCAAAAAAUUGUAUGCUAGACACCACCCUUCCAUUCUCCCCUUUAAUUGAACAGGCCCCGUCUUUUCUGCUCUUGUAGCCCAUUGUUCUUCAAAUGUAAUUAGCCUUUGUGUUUUGACAGUAAGCAAGACUCUGG
Non-coding RNA from Vicugna pacos (alpaca), 1046 nucleotides. The record is from RefSeq and is a predicted model, not a curated record. Lineage: Eukaryota; Metazoa; Chordata; Mammalia; Artiodactyla; Camelidae.